CCGCCGAGCCGCUCUCACGAGCCGGAGGGGGAUGGCUCUGCCUGUGGAGUCUCCACCGUUCUCGGGAGGUGCCGUCCGCCCACCUGAAGGCACCGGGGAGCAUGGAGGUGGCUUGGAAAGCUGCGUGGGUGACCGAGCAGUGGCUACUGUGUGACAGAGCUCGCCGUGGGCGAAGGAGGAGGUGAAACCCACUAAUGCGUUUAGCGAAAGGGAAGGCCUUGUUGCUCCCCUUUGAACUACAAUCGCAAAACUGAAUGGAGUCCCGGCUGCUGCAGUUAUCAUUUCAGUAAACGUGGAAUAUUAUUUUACCAUAAAAAUUGUGCUUGAUGUCAUUUGCCUCCAUGUGCCUUUAAUACUAAUCACCAGUAGCUAUUUUAUGUUAGUUUGUUAGCCCCUUCUUUCUGGCCCUCUCAGCUUCAAAGUUACAGCUUUCCUGUUGCAUAAAAAUGAAAAAGUGGAGGGUCAAAAAAGUGUAACUAACAGUAUUUACACACAAUUAAAAUCUCAUAGUUUGGUUA
Long non-coding RNA from Echinops telfairi (small Madagascar hedgehog), 518 nucleotides. RefSeq lists it as uncharacterized. Lineage: Eukaryota; Metazoa; Chordata; Mammalia; Afrosoricida; Tenrecidae. The record is from RefSeq and is a predicted model, not a curated record. The transcript has 2 exons.